Patella vulgata (common limpet) is the source of this 872-nucleotide long non-coding RNA. RefSeq lists it as uncharacterized. The transcript has 3 exons. Lineage: Eukaryota; Metazoa; Mollusca; Gastropoda; Patellidae. The record is from RefSeq and is a predicted model, not a curated record.
UGGUAUAAGUUAUGGUGCCGAAGACCAACGAGACCCCUGGGUGUUUUCCCGACAUAAUGAAGAAAAUCCCAUGUGGCUGUCAACAGAGUUUACACCACUAGAAACCUGAUUAGUUGGUGAACAAAAAACAAAACCGCAGGACUAAAAAGUUAUCUUCGAAGAGGUAACUUUUAUCUAGGGAAGAGUCAUACGCUAUAACUCCCAAACGCUGAAUUUGUGAACCGCAUUAAAGAACUUUUAACUAUGUGGAACGUACUGGACGAACAGUUUUUAAUGUGUAAAAAAAAUUCCACCGGUCCAGCUAUGUGGUUUUUACUGCGAGCACUUCGCUUUUCCACAUUAAGCAAGCGGAUUCUUUUUCCCCCACGGUCUUUUAUCCGCACUGAUCACACCAAUCAUCAGUGAGCUGGACCUCCUGUUUUAACAGGUUUUUAUUAUGACAAAGAGAGAAGAUGACCCACCCCCUCUUCUCACGAUAUCGAUUCUUUAAGUUGACAACUAAAGUUGGACCAGAAAAAAACAAAUACAUCUAUUCAUGACCGGUGCACAUGUUAUAACUGCCAACAUAUGCGGAAUCAGGUCACAAAGCCAAUUAAGUAUUAUUAAUCAAAGCCAAUGAACAACGGAACUGUUAUAGUGACUGAUUUACAUUUCAUGAUCAGACCAGACUCCAAAGGAUUAGCAAUUAGCUAAACUAUAAAGACUUCAUCCCUAGGAUAUCAGUUAGCAAUGGCGCACUGACUGGGUUAUCUCUUUAAUCCUUGUCAUAGGGGCUGUUCGAAAAAAUCCUAUGACCAGGCAUGCAACAGAUUUAGAAAUAAAUGAAUGUAUAAAAAAUUGGCUGCGUUAUGCUCCAGAAAGAAUAAAAAGGG